GACGAACGCUGGCGGCGUGCUUAACACAUGCAAGUCGAACGGAAAGGCCCUGCUUUUGUGGGGUGCUCGAGUGGCGAACGGGUGAGUAACACGUGAGUAACCUGCCCUUGACUUUGGGAUAACUUCAGGAAACUGGGGCUAAUACCGGAUAGGAGCUCCUGCUGCAUGGUGGGGGUUGGAAAGUUUCGGCGGUUGGGGAUGGACUCGCGGCUUAUCAGCUUGUUGGUGGGGUAGUGGCUUACCAAGGCUUUGACGGGUAGCCGGCCUGAGAGGGUGGCCGGCCACAUUGGGACUGAGAUACGGCCCAGACUCCUACGGGAGGCAGCAGUGGGGAAUAUUGCACAAUGGGCGGAAGCCUGAUGCAGCAACGCCGCGUGCGGGAUGACGGCCUUCGGGUUGUAAACCGCUUUCGCCUGUGACGAAGCGUGAGUGACGGUAAUGGGUAAAGAAGCACCGGCUAACUACGUGCCAGCAGCCGCGGUGAUACGUAGGGUGCGAGCGUUGUCCGGAUUUAUUGGGCGUAAAGGGCUCGUAGGUGGUUGAUCGCGUCGGAAGUGUAAUCUUGGGGCUUAACCCUGAGCGUGCUUUCGAUACGGGUUGACUUGAGGAAGGUAGGGGAGAAUGGAAUUCCUGGUGGAGCGGUGGAAUGCGCAGAUAUCAGGAGGAACACCAGUGGCGAAGGCGGUUCUCUGGGCCUUUCCUGACGCUGAGGAGCGAAAGCGUGGGGAGCGAACAGGCUUAGAUACCCUGGUAGUCCACGCUGUAAACGGUGGGUACUAGGUGUGGGGUCCAUUCCACGGGUUCCGUGCCGUAGCUAACGCUUUAAGUACCCCGCCUGGGGAGUACGGCCGCAAGGCUAAAACUCAAAGGAAUUGACGGGGCCCCGCACAAGCGGCGGAGCAUGCGGAUUAAUUCGAUGCAACGCGUAGAACCUUACCUGGGUUUGACAUGGAUCGGGAGCGCUCAGAGAUGGGUGUGCCUCUUUUGGGGUCGGUUCACAGGUGGUGCAUGGCUGUCGUCAGCUCGUGUCGUGAGAUGUUGGGUUGAGUCCCGCAACGAGCGCAACCCUUGUUCACUGUUGCCAGCACGUUAUGGUGGGGACUCAGUGGAGACCGCCGGGGUCAACUCGGAGGAAGGUGGGGAUGACGUCAAGUCAUCAUGCCCCUUAUGUCCAGGGCUUCACGCAUGCUACAAUGGCUGGUACAGAGAGUGGCGAGCCUGUGAGGGUGAGCGAAUCUCGGAAAGCCGGUCUCAGUUCGGAUUGGGGUCUGCAACUCGACCUCAUGAAGUCGGAGUCGCUAGUAAUCGCAGAUCAGCAACGCUGCGGUGAAUACGUUCCCGGG
Molecule: ribosomal RNA, 1343 nt
Filed under: uncultured bacterium
Lineage: Bacteria
Description: 16S ribosomal RNA
Rfam family: Bacterial small subunit ribosomal RNA
Source: RNAcentral